GAUCCUGUCGUCUAAUCGGCGAGGACACCCGUCUUUCAUGCGGGCAAUGCGGGUUCAAAUCCCGCCAGGGUUGCCA
This 76-nucleotide transfer RNA is filed under the name Prosthecobacter sp. Its description in RNAcentral is "tRNA-Glu". It matches the Rfam family "tRNA". From Rfam's summary of the family: Transfer RNA (tRNA) molecules are approximately 80 nucleotides in length. Their secondary structure includes four short double-helical elements and three loops (D, anti-codon, and T loops). The record is from RNAcentral. Lineage: Bacteria; Pseudomonadati; Verrucomicrobiota; Verrucomicrobiia; Verrucomicrobiales; Verrucomicrobiaceae.